Molecule: transfer RNA, 56 nt
Filed under: Symplanella brevicephala
Lineage: Eukaryota; Metazoa; Arthropoda; Insecta; Hemiptera; Caliscelidae
Description: tRNA-Cys
Source: RNAcentral
AGUCUUAAAUAAAUCUUAAAUUGCAAAUUUAAGAAUGCUUUAAUAAGCUAAGGCUU